AUACGGAGGAUCCGAGCGUUAUCCGGAUUUAUUGGGUUUAAAGGGAGCGUAGGUGGAUUGUUAAGUCAGUUGUGAAAGUUUGCGGCUCAACCGUAAAAUUGCAGUUGAAACUGGCAGUCUUGAGUACAGUAGAGGUGGGCGGAAUUCGUGGUGUAGCGGUGAAAUGCUUAGAUAUCACGAAGAACUCCGAUUGCGAAGGCAGCUCACUAGACUGUUACUGACACUGAUGCUCGAAAGUGUGGGUAUCAAACAGGAUUAGAUACCCUGGUAGUCCACACAGUAAACGAUGAAUACUCGCUGUUUGCGAUAUACAGUAAGCGGCCAAGCGAAAGCAUUAAGUAUUCAACCUGGGGAGUACGACGGCAACGGUGAA
RNAcentral lists this ribosomal RNA (373 nucleotides) under uncultured bacterium. RNAcentral describes it as "partial 16S ribosomal RNA". It matches the Rfam family "Bacterial small subunit ribosomal RNA", at positions 523 to 898 of the family's 1533-position model. The record is from RNAcentral.